UACGUAGGGCGCAAGCGUUGUCCGGAAUUAUUGGGCGUAAAGAGCUCGUAGGCGGUUUGUCGCGUCUGCUGUGAAAACCUAAGGCUCAACCUUGGGCUUGCAGUGGGUACGGGCAGACUAGAGUGCGGUAGGGGUGACUGGAAUUCCUGGUGUAGCGGUGGAAUGCGCAGAUAUCAGGAGGAAUACCUGCGGCGAAGGCGGCUUCCUGGCUCAUUACUGACGUUCAGGUACGAAAGCGUGGGUAGCAAACAGG
Molecule: ribosomal RNA, 253 nt
Filed under: uncultured bacterium
Lineage: Bacteria
Description: partial 16S ribosomal RNA
Rfam family: Bacterial small subunit ribosomal RNA
Source: RNAcentral